ACUCAUGUAUGACCAUUCCUCAU
This 23-nucleotide non-coding RNA is filed under the name Arabidopsis thaliana (thale cress). Lineage: Eukaryota; Viridiplantae; Streptophyta; Magnoliopsida; Brassicales; Brassicaceae. The record is from RNAcentral.